Gadus morhua (Atlantic cod) is the source of this 332-nucleotide long non-coding RNA. RefSeq lists it as uncharacterized. The transcript has 3 exons. The record is from RefSeq and is a predicted model, not a curated record. NCBI's taxonomy places the organism in Eukaryota, Metazoa, Chordata, Actinopteri, Gadiformes, Gadidae.
UCUCAAUCGGAUCAACUCGGCCGAAUGAACGGGAUUUGCAUUUCUGGCAGCUGGACUCUGUGAAGGAUGCCCUCAUUUGGCAGAACAGAAUUGCUGCUGGUUCUUUCUUUUGUUAUCUUCAGUGGGAUGAGCUACCUCUGGAUCUCCCCCAACUUUACGGCAGAGAAAUUGAUUGUCACCCCAAAGAAAAAGUGGACCCCUCCUACUGGUAUAGUUAAGCCUCCGGCUUCCUGCACAUGCCCAGCGAAGUCAUUCGAUCUGGCAGGGAGCAUUCCCACUGCCAACCGAGCAGACAUUCAGAAACGACGGGCAGAGGAGUACAAGAAGCACCA